GACGAACGCUGGCGGCGUGCUUAACACAUGCAAGUCGAACGGAAAGGCCCCUUUGGGGGUACUCGAGUGGCGAACGGGUGAGUAACACGUGAGUAACCUGCCCUUGACUUCGGGAUAACUUCAGGAAACUGGGGCUAAUACCGGAUAGGAAUCCUUGCUGCAUGGUGGGGGUUGGAAAGCUUCGGCGGUUUUGGAUGGACUCGCGGCUUAUCAGCUUGUUGGUGGGGUAGUGGCUUACCAAGGCUUUGACGGGUAGCCGGCCUGAGAGGGCGACCGGCCACAUUGGGACUGAGAUACGGCCCAGACUCCUACGGGAGGCAGCAGUGGGGAAUAUUGCACAAGGGGCGGAAGCCUGAUGCAGUAACGCCGCGUGCGGGAGGACGGCCUUCGGGUUGUAAACCGCUUUCAGCAGGGGCGAAGCUUGUGGUGACGGUACCUGCAGAAGAAGCACCGGCUAACUACGUG
Molecule: ribosomal RNA, 465 nt
Filed under: uncultured bacterium
Lineage: Bacteria
Description: partial 16S ribosomal RNA
Rfam family: Bacterial small subunit ribosomal RNA
Source: RNAcentral